This 663-nucleotide ribosomal RNA is filed under the name Hygrocybe reidii. RNAcentral's name for it is "eukaryotic LSU rRNA". The stretch from base 227 to 379 matches the Rfam family "5.8S ribosomal RNA". The record is from RNAcentral. Lineage: Eukaryota; Fungi; Basidiomycota; Agaricomycetes; Agaricales; Hygrophoraceae.
AGGAUCAUUAAUGAAACGCUCAGGGAUGUUGCUGGCCCCUUUCUGCGAAGGUGGGGGGCAUGUGCACUCCUUGAACAUUCUGACCCCCCYYCCCUGUNGACCUUUUGUAGGCUUCAGAGAGGACCACCCUUUGGGGCCUAUGUCAAUUACCUUACAAACUCUAGUUGAUCGAAUGUCGUGUAACAAGUAAAUCUGGAGCUUUCUAGGUUUAAAAGUAACCCAAUACAACUUUUAACAAUGGAUCUCUUGGCUCUCGCAUCGAUGAAGAACGCAGCGAAAUGCGAUACGUAAUGUGAAUUGCAGAAUUCCGUGAAUCAUCGAAUCUUUGAACGCACUUGCGCCCCUUGGUAUUCCGAGGGGCAUGCCUGUUUGAGUGUCAUUGAAUUCUCAACUGGCCCGAGUUUGCUCUCGGAGCUACAGCUUGGAAUUGGAGUGUGCUGGUUCCCUUGUGGGGUCGGCUCCUCUGAAAUGCAUUAGCGACGAAAUUCUUUCCNGAGGGUUGGCCCUCGAAUGCGCUGUGGCAUUGAUAACAAUUGUCUAUGUCUCACUGCCGGGGGGAGGAUGACCCAAGGGUGUUCUCGCUUACAAUGGUCCUCGUCGUGGGGGACAAAGGCUCAUCUUGACAAUUACCUCAAAUCAGGUAGGACUACCCGCUGAACUUAA